Long non-coding RNA from Pristis pectinata (smalltooth sawfish), 818 nucleotides. RefSeq lists it as uncharacterized. The transcript has 2 exons. Lineage: Eukaryota; Metazoa; Chordata; Chondrichthyes; Rhinopristiformes; Pristidae. The record is from RefSeq and is a predicted model, not a curated record.
UUGAUUAUGCUGGCUGCUUUACUGAGGCAGUGAGAAGUAUAGACAGAGUCCAUGGAGGGGAGGAUGGUUUCUGUGAGGACAAGAUUAUCGCCUGCAGAAGAAAAUCAAAAAUCUGCACACAUUUAAAAUCUGAAACAAAAAACAAAAAUUGUUCACCAGGUCAGACAGCAUAUGUGGAGGCAACAUCUCGUGGGAAUGGUGACCACCUGCGCAGAUGGAAAUGAACACCUUCGAAUGACUUACGGCGGGAUCUGUUGACGGUUCGACCAAAAUAGAUGACUGGUCAACAUCACACGGCAGCUCGUGAGACCUCGUCUGUCUUCACUCCUUGGCUGGGAUGCUGACAUCACCACUGCCCCGCAAUGUGACGAGCACGUCAUUGGCCAGCGAGCAGUUUGUGUUCCGGAGCUUGUGAAAAACAAGUUUUAAUCACUACUUAAUAAAACCAGCCCAAGACAGACAAGUUUAAUUGGUGUGAGGUCAGGAGCGUCGACAGUUCUAUAUUUUACACCCAGUGUUAGCAGCAUGUUGGAAACAACCAUGAUGAUGUAACUGGCUGUGUUAUUUGAGAUUGUUUUUGGGUCUGGAACAACGUGUGAUGUCUGCAAUGUGACAUCCGGAGACUGACGUCUGGUGUGUGACAUUUGUCACAUUGUUUAAUGGAUGCUUGCUGCCUUGGUCCUCUUCUGUUCCAGACUUUCAGCUAGCUCCAUGCUAAAGGUGUUAAAUCAACACAGAAUUAAUUGCGUUGGAUGGGAGUCUAUACCACACAUUCACCGCACUAUAUGCAUUAAAAAGCAUUUCUGUCAAAACCACAA